GUGUCAGCAGCCGCGGUAAAACGUAGGGGACAAGCGUUAUCCGGAUUUACUGGGCGUAAAGCGCCCGUAGGCGGCUAAAUAAGUUGGACGUGAAAGCUCCCGGCUUAACUGGGAGAGGCCGUUCAAAACUGUUUAGCUAGAGUGAGGAAGAGGAGAGCAGAAUUCCCGGUGUAGUGGUGGAAUGCGUAGAGAUCGGGAGGAAUACCAGUGGCGAAAGCGGCUCUCUGGUCCUAAACUGACGCUGAGGGGCGAAAGCGUGGGGAGCGAACGGGAUUAGAAACCCCCGUAGUCC
Molecule: ribosomal RNA, 292 nt
Filed under: uncultured bacterium
Lineage: Bacteria
Description: partial 16S ribosomal RNA
Rfam family: Bacterial small subunit ribosomal RNA
Source: RNAcentral